Molecule: long non-coding RNA, 646 nt
Organism: Vombatus ursinus (common wombat)
Lineage: Eukaryota; Metazoa; Chordata; Mammalia; Diprotodontia; Vombatidae
Exons: 3
Source: RefSeq, a predicted model, not a curated record
CCUUCACCUUUAAGACAGUUUACAAAGCUGCUCCCUGCAAGCCAAUACAGAGGGCCUUUUGCUCACAUCCUGGAAAGAAAGUAAAGGCUGAGACCCUGCUGCACAGACUGCUCCCUGGCAAAGGAAGAAGGGGAAAUGAAAGUGGAAAUGGAGUGAAGGGGAAAAAAUCAGGCAAGAGCAGUGAUGAGCAUUCUGGGCAUGGAGGAGCUAGACAGCAUCACUUCAUACAGGUUUCCCAUAUUUCUUUGAAGUCUUCAUCUUCAGCAUUCCUUGUGGCUAUCACAGAGUAUCAUGCUGAGAAUCAGUGAAAUAUAAUACCGAGGCAAAACCAAAGAAGUUAAAACAUUUAAAGAGAAAGAAUUUCUAGAAUUUCUUGCCUAUAUUCAUGGAAGCUUGUUUCUAAUUAACUACGUUCCCAUCUGUCUGAUCUGUGUAUUAUAGGGGUUAAAGCUGGCUAAAGUAUAAAACUUGAAUUGACUGAGUUAAAAAAGUCAAAUCACCCACAUUAUCUGCUUGUAGACACACUCCUCUGUGACGGGAUCUGUUAUAGUCUGUCAGAAAUAAUGUGUUUUUGGAGCCAAGAUGGUGGAGUAAAAGCAGUGACUUGCUUGAGCUCUCCCCCAAACCCCACCAAAUACCUGUAAAA